This 451-nucleotide ribosomal RNA is filed under the name uncultured bacterium. Its description in RNAcentral is "partial 16S ribosomal RNA". It matches the Rfam family "Bacterial small subunit ribosomal RNA", at positions 29 to 523 of the family's 1533-position model. The record is from RNAcentral.
AACGAACGCUGGCGGCAGGCUUAACACAUGCAAGUCGAACGAACAUAGCAAUAUGUUAGUGGCAGACGGGUGAGUAACGCGUGGGAAUGUGCCCUUUAGUUCGGAAUAACUCAGGGAAACUUGAGCUAAUACCGGAUAAGCCCGAGAGGGGAAAGAUUUAUCGCUAAAGGAGCAGCCCGCGUCUGAUUAGCUAGUUGGUGAGGUAAUGGCUCACCAAGGCGACGAUCAGUAGUUGGUCUGAGAGGAUGAUCAGCCACACUGGGACUGAGACACGGCCCAGACUCCUACGGGAGGCAGCAGUGGGGAAUAUUGGACAAUGGGGGCAACCCUGAUCCAGCCAUGCCGCGUGAGUGAUGAAGGCCUUAGGGUUGUAAAACUCUUUUAUCCGGGAAGAUAAUGACUGUACCGGAAGAAUAAGCCCCGGCUAACUUCGUGCCAGCCGCCGCCGUAA